This 468-nucleotide ribosomal RNA is filed under the name Porphyromonas endodontalis. RNAcentral describes it as "bacterial SSU rRNA". It matches the Rfam family "Bacterial small subunit ribosomal RNA", at positions 28 to 484 of the family's 1533-position model. The record is from RNAcentral. Lineage: Bacteria; Pseudomonadati; Bacteroidota; Bacteroidia; Bacteroidales; Porphyromonadaceae.
GAUGAACGCUAGCGAUAGGCUUAACACAUGCAAGUCGAGGGGCAGCAUUAUUUUAGCUUGCUAAGAUAGAUGGCGACCGGCGCACGGGUGCGUAACGCGUAUGCAACCUGCCUGUAAUUAGGGAAUAACCCGGUGAAAGUCGGACUAAUACCCUAUAUUCUUCUUUCUCCGCAUGGGGGAGGACGGAAAGAUUUAUUGAUUACAGAUGGGCAUGCGUCCCAUUAGCUAGUUGGUAAGGUAACGGCUUACCAAGGCAACGAUGGGUAGGGGGACUGAGAGGUUGACCCCCCACACUGGUACUGAGACACGGACCAGACUCCUACGGGAGGCAGCAGUGAGGAAUAUUGGUCAAUGGGCGAGAGCCUGAACCAGCCAAGUCGCGUGAAGGACGACGGUUCUAUGGAUUGUAAACUUCUUUUGUAGAGGAAUAAUGGCAGCUACGUGUAGCUGAGAUGCAUGUACUCUACG